RNAcentral lists this ribosomal RNA (463 nucleotides) under uncultured bacterium. RNAcentral's name for it is "partial 16S ribosomal RNA". It matches the Rfam family "Bacterial small subunit ribosomal RNA", at positions 28 to 507 of the family's 1533-position model. The record is from RNAcentral.
GAUGAACGCUGACAGAAUGCUUAACGCAUGCAAGUCUUUGGCGAAGCUGUGCUUGCACAGCCUAGCCAAGGCGGACGGGUGAGUAACGCGUAAGGAACUUGCCCUGCAGUCAGGGAUAACAGACGGAAACGACUGAUAAGACCUGGUAAAGUCAGACGGACUCAUGUCCAGCCUGAUGAAAAGAGAUGCUGCAGGAGAGCCUUGCGUCCUAUUAGCUUGUUGGUGGGGUAACGGCCCACCAAGGCGAUGAGAGGUAGCCGGCCUGAGAGGGUGGACGGCCACAAGGGGACUGAGAUACGGCCCUUACUCCUACGGGAGGCAGCAGUGGGGAAUAUUGGACAAUGGGGGCAACCCUGAUCCAGCAAUUCUGUGUGCACGAUGAAGGUUUUCGGAUUGUAAAGUGCUUUCAGCAGGGAAGAAAAAAAUGACGGUACCUGCAGAAGAAGCGACGGCUAAAUACGUG